AUGGGCUCUUCUGAGAAAGAAUUUCAAACUAUUUUGUGUAACACUGGCAAUGUAAUUGAAGAGAUGAAAGUUUAGCAGAUUUUUUGGUUUGCAGGACCUCAAAGCAGUAUAUCUAACAUACUAAUUCUGCAGUAUGUAUGAAAGCACAUCAACAGGUGCACUGCUGUAUGAAGCUUGGGAUCUACAAAUUCACUUCAUCGAGACAGAAGAACGAACGGACAGAGGACAUCAAAAAAACAGAAUGUCAGUGACUGCGCAGCUGCUGCAAUCAAGUUCCUUAAAGGGCAUGUAUUAAGCUGUAGGAAUGUGAAGUCAAAAUGUUUAUUUUGCUCAGUUAUUCAUGGUGCUGGUUAUGAAAUUGCAUUGUGCAAAUAAGUGCAUUUUCUCUUUCAGUCCCAAACACUGACAUGAGUGUGAGGUGGUGAAUUCCUGUAUUGCUUGGGGUUUGUGGGAAUGGGAAGGACAGUUUUGACUGAUCUCUGAGCAAUGGAAGCAGAGCAUUUCUUGCUGUCACCAGCGCAGUAGUGGCUCAGUUCUUUUCCAUUUGUCUUAAGAUAAGUAAUUUCUUAGUGCUUCUUUCUGUCUAUACUAUACACAAUUGCAGAGAAAAGUAUGGUGCUGCAAAAAUAUUCAUCACAGUGUAAUAGUUGGGGUAUAGGAAUGUUACAUUCUAAAUACCUUAAUAACUUUAAUUAAGUUUAAUUAUUAUAAAGCAUUCAAGAAUACACUGAUGUCUUACUUUACAGUUUUUUUUUU
This 756-nucleotide long non-coding RNA is filed under the name Gallus gallus (chicken). RNAcentral describes it as "lncRNA (ENSGALG00010016237.1)". The record is from RNAcentral. Lineage: Eukaryota; Metazoa; Chordata; Aves; Galliformes; Phasianidae.